GAGUUUGAUCAUGGCUCAGAUUGAACGCUGGCGGCAUGCCUUACACAUGCAAGUCGAACGGUAACAGGUCUUCGGAUGCUGACGAGUGGCGAACGGGUGAGUAAUACAUCGGAACGUGCCCGAUCGUGGGGGGAUAACGGAGCGAAAGCUUUGCUAAUACCGCAUACGAUCUACGGAUGAAAGCAGGGGACCGCAAGGCCUUGCGCGGACGGAGCGGCCGAUGGCAGAUUAGGUAGUUGGUGGGAUAAAAGCUUACCAAGCCGACGAUCUGUAGCUGGUCUGAGAGGACGACCAGCCACACUGGGACUGAGACACGGCCCAGACUCCUACGGGAGGCAGCAGUGGGGAAUUUUGGACAAUGGGCGAAAGCCUGAUCCAGCCAUGCCGCGUGCAGGAUGAAGGCCUCGGUUG
RNAcentral lists this ribosomal RNA (411 nucleotides) under uncultured microorganism. Its description in RNAcentral is "bacterial SSU rRNA". It matches the Rfam family "Bacterial small subunit ribosomal RNA", at positions 9 to 425 of the family's 1533-position model. The record is from RNAcentral.